Molecule: long non-coding RNA, 508 nt
Filed under: Setaria viridis
Lineage: Eukaryota; Viridiplantae; Streptophyta; Magnoliopsida; Poales; Poaceae
Description: long non-coding RNA (SVIR_LNC000885)
Source: RNAcentral
UCCAAAUCAACAUUAGGGGGGAGGAUGAUCACAACUGCAACAUAUGCAAUGAAUUGAUAAUAUGAGUAUAUCAAGAAUGGUAGUUUGAGCCAUCACAUACAAGUGGCUCAAUGGAUAUCUCAAAUGACAUCGAUAUCUAAUUGAAAGUGAGAACAAGCUCUGCUACUAAUUGAAAGGACUAUGAAUUUGCCUAUGGAGGGGGGUUAAUAGGCAAAAUCUAGCAAUUAACAAAAACUUAAGCCCACUAAUGGUACCAAAUUGGCGAGGCUAAUUUUCAAAACCAGACAUGGUAGAUUUGGGAUAAGUAAACCUAAUGAGAUAUGCACUACUCCCUUUACGAGUUCUAACACAAACCAAACUUAUAGAUAUGCUUCUAUAGAUGAUUUUUAGCUAGUUCAAUAAGCUUCUGCAUACAAGACAAGCACACCAAAGUAGAUCAAAGUGGAAGUAAGAAUAAUUGAUUGGAAUGAACAAGUGAAGCAAACCAAAUCAGAGACAUGAGGAUUUG